GAUCUGGUCCCAACCCUUAAACCAAUUACUACUUAACUUACACAUGCAAGUCUCAGCGCACCAGUGAGAAAGCCCCUACCACAAAGUAGGGAGCGGGUAUCAGGCACAAUAAUUUGCCCACGACACCUAGCCCCGCCACACCCACAAGGGCAUGCAGCAGUGAUUAAUAUUAAGAUAUAAACGCCAGUUUGACUUAGUUAUAGUAUUAAGAGCCGGCCAAUCCGGUGCCAGCCGCCGCGGUUACACCGCUGAGGCUCAAGUUGGUUUACUUCGGCGUAAAGCGUGGUUAAAGCUAUCAUUACUCGAUUAAGACUAAACUCAAGCUAAACUGUUUAAAGUCUUGCUUACAGGAAAAUCAUAAACGAAAGUUGUCUUAACUUCCUCUCUUGAACCCACGACAACUAGGACACAAACUGGGAUUAGAUACCCCACUAUGCCUAGUCAUAAAUCUACUUACACCCAUCCCGCCAGAGAAUUACGAGCCAAAGCUUAAAACUCAAGGGACUUGACGGCAACCCAUACCCCCUAGAGGAGCCCGUCCUAAAAUCGAUGCCCCCCGAUUAACCUCCCCACUUUUCGUUUACCCCGCUUGUAUACUUCCGUCACAGCUUACCCCGUGAGGGAUCUUCAGUAAGCAAAAUGUUCUUACCCAACAAGAAGUCAGGUCAAUGUGCAGCUAAUAAAGUGGAUUGAGAUAGGCUACACUUUCUAAAUUAGAAGAUACGGAUAACUCGUUGAAACCCGAAGUUUGAAGGUGGAUUUAGCAGUAAAGAGUUUCA
This 779-nucleotide ribosomal RNA is filed under the name Euparkerella brasiliensis (Brazilian Guanabara frog). RNAcentral's name for it is "partial 12S ribosomal RNA". It matches the Rfam family "Bacterial small subunit ribosomal RNA", at positions 10 to 1351 of the family's 1533-position model. Lineage: Eukaryota; Metazoa; Chordata; Amphibia; Anura; Craugastoridae. The record is from RNAcentral.